RNAcentral lists this ribosomal RNA (720 nucleotides) under Cibicidoides wuellerstorfi. Its description in RNAcentral is "bacterial SSU rRNA". It matches the Rfam family "Eukaryotic small subunit ribosomal RNA", at positions 1162 to 1607 of the family's 1831-position model. Lineage: Eukaryota; Foraminifera; Rotaliida; Anomalinidae. The record is from RNAcentral.
GGGCACCACAAGAACGCGUGGAGCAUGUGGCUUAAUUUGACUCAACGCGGGAAAUCUUACCGGGUCCGGACACACUGAGGAUUGACAGGCAAUAUUAAUACUUUGCUUCGGCAUUGUAUUAUGUUAAAUAUGCUAGUCCUUUCAUGAUUAUGUGAUAGGUGGUGCAUGGCCGUUCUUAGUUCGUGGAGUGAUCUGUCUGCUUAAUUGCGUUUCACUAAGGGCCUAUAAAUUUACGUAUGUUGUAUCGCACUUUGACCCCUUUCUUUAAUUAGAAAGCGCGUGUCUUAGUUUCGCUUUGCUCAUACAAUUAGGUCCUGAAAGCAACGAACGUGACCGCAACCUCUUGUUGCCUUUAUACCAAACAUGUUUAUUCAUUUUUUAAUGUUCAUUCAUGAAAAAAGGCUUUUUAAACUAGAGGGACCGCUGUUACUUUCUUAAACCAGAGGAAGGUUGCGGCAAUAACAGGUCUGUGAUGCCCUUAGAUGUUCCGGGCUGCACACGUGCUACAAUGAUUAUUGCAGUGAGCAUCUCAUUUUUACACACCGCAUGCGCGAGUCCAUUUAUUCACCUUCGGGUGUUUUAAAUGUGUACCUCUGCGCGCGGUAAAGCCUGCUUCGAAAGUAAGUGGGUAAUCAAUUAGAAGUAAUGAUUUCCUUUUUUAGCACACAUAUAUACGGCGUCUAUGCCCGGGUUACCUUGUUGUAGCUUUUGUGUGUAUAG